GGUAAUGCACGACGACUCCCCUUCAUAUAAAGAGAAACAAAGGAGACCCUCAGAUAAAUUCUACUCCAAAAAAUAAGAGUACUCUCUCUUUCUCCAAUUCUCUUUCUUUCAUUAUUUUCAAGCUCCGACUAACUUAAAGUAUCGGAGGAUCCCCCGUUAGAGAAUCUCCGAUGAGUGUAGACUUUUUUAAUUUUGAGAUUUUUAAGGAGAGCUAGUCCUUGAAACAUCACCAAAUCC
RNAcentral lists this long non-coding RNA (237 nucleotides) under Elaeis guineensis (African oil palm). RNAcentral's name for it is "long non-coding RNA (EGUI_LNC007982)". The record is from RNAcentral. Lineage: Eukaryota; Viridiplantae; Streptophyta; Magnoliopsida; Arecales; Arecaceae.